GCGGAAGGGUGAGUAAUGCAUGGGCAAUCUACCCUCAAGUUGGGAAUACCUCCGCGAAAGGGGAGUUAAUACCGAAUAUGAUCUCCCGGCGCAUGCCGGGGUGUUCAAAGGCGGGGACCUUCGGGCCUGCCGCUUGGGGAUGAGCCCGUGUCCUAUCAGCUUGUUGGUGAGGUAAUGGCUCACCAAGGCUUACGGGUAGCUGGUCUGAGAGGAUGGUCAGCCACACUGGGACUGAGACACUGCCCAGACUCCUACGGGAGGCUGCAGUCGAGAAUCAUUGUCAAUGCGCGAAAGCGUGAACAUGCGACGCCGCGUGGAGGAUGAAGGCCUUCGGGUUGUAAACUCCUGUAGUCAGGGAGCAAUCGUCGGUGGGUGAAUACCCCAUCGGCCUGAUCGUACCUGAACAGUAAGCCACGGCUAACUCUGUGCCAGCAGCCGCGGUAAUACAGAGGUGGCAAGCGUUGUUCGGAUUUACUGGGCGUAAAGGGUGCGUAGGCGGUUGCGUGUGUCGGAUGUGAAAUCUCACUGUUCAUCGGUGAAACUGCAUUCGAAACUACGUAACUCGAGUACUGGAGAGGAGAGCGGAAUUCUUGGUGUAGCGGUGAAAUGCGUUGAGAUCAAGAAGAACGCCGGUGGCGAAGGCGGCUCUCUGGACAGAAACUGACGCUGAGGCACGAAAGCUAGGGGAGCAAACAGGAUUAGAUACCCUGGUAGUCCUAGCCGUAAACGUUGUGCACUUGGUGUGGGAGGAGUUUACCCCUUCCGUGCCGUAGCUAACGUGUUAAGUGCACCGCCUGGGGAGUACGGCCGCAAGGCUAAAACUCAAAGAAAUUGACGGGGGCCCGCACAAGCGGUGGAGCAUGUGGCUUAAUUCGAUGCAACGCGAAGAACCUUACCUGGGCUUGACAUGGCGAGACUUCGGUCUAAACCGGUGAAAGUCGGUUGAACGCACACAGGUGCUGCAUGGCUGUCGUCAGCUCGUGCCGUGAGGUGUUGGGUUAAGUCCCGCAACGAGCGCAACCCUUGUG
This 1028-nucleotide ribosomal RNA is filed under the name uncultured organism. RNAcentral describes it as "bacterial SSU rRNA". It matches the Rfam family "Bacterial small subunit ribosomal RNA", at positions 98 to 1109 of the family's 1533-position model. The record is from RNAcentral.